This 712-nucleotide ribosomal RNA is filed under the name uncultured bacterium. RNAcentral describes it as "bacterial SSU rRNA". It matches the Rfam family "Bacterial small subunit ribosomal RNA", at positions 8 to 710 of the family's 1533-position model. The record is from RNAcentral.
AGAGUUUGAUCAUGGCUCAGGAUGAACGCUAGCUACAGGCUUAACACAUGCAAGUCGAGGGGCAUCAGGAAGAAAGCUUGCUUUCUUUGCCGGCGACCGGCGCACGGGUGAGUAACACGUAUCCAACCUGCCCUUUACUCGGGGAUAGCCUUUCGAAAGAAAGAUUAAUACCCGAUGGCAUAAUGAUUCCGCAUGGUUUCAUUAUUAAAGGAUUCCGGUAAAGGAUGGGGAUGCGUUCCAUUAGGUUGUUGGUGAGGUAACGGCCCACCAAGCCUUCGAUGGAUAGGGGUUCUGAGAGGAAGGUCCCCCACAUUGGAACUGAGACACGGUCCAAACUCCUACGGGAGGCAGCAGUGAGGAAUAUUGGUCAAUGGGCGCUAGCCUGAACCAGCCAAGUAGCGUGAAGGAUGAAGGCUCUAUGGGUCGUAAACUUCUUUUAUAUAAGAAUAAAGUGCAGUAUGUAUACUGUUUUGUAUGUAUUAUAUGAAUAAGGAUCGGCUAACUCCGUGCCAGCAGCCGCGGUAAUACGGAGGAUCCGAGCGUUAUCCGGAUUUAUUGGGUUUAAAGGGAGCGUAGGUGGACUGGUAAGUCAGUUGUGAAAGUUUGCGGCUCAACCGUAAAAUUGCAGUUGAUACUGUCAGUCUUGAGUACAGUAGAGGUGGGCGGAAUUCGUGGUGUAGCGGUGAAAUGCUUAGAUAUCACGAAGAACUCC